AUGACUAGGGAUAACCUUAGGAAGAGACACAUCAUCAAACCCCUUGAUUGUGUUUACUGCUUGGAACAAGAGUCUUGUUCUCACCUAUUUUUUUGUAUAGGUUCUAAACAUCUCUGGACCCACAUUGAGGUAUAUUUCUCUAGUCAGAUUGGCUCAUCCUUCGAAUCUGUCGCCAGAUUCUUGAUUGCUACCAAAAAGUGCUCAGUUUUAAACACUAUUAGCUCAGCUGUCCUUUGGUGCCUCUGGAAAUAUAGAAAUGCUAUGAUUUUCAGUAACACCUCCUGGAUUUCCAUUCCGUAGGUCUUGAGGUUGAUCAGGAACAUGGUGAGGAACUGGGCGAUUCUCUCAUCCGAAUCGGACAAGGACAAGUUGAUGAGCUUCAUGGAAACCCUAACAAGAUCCCUCCAGAAACCGUUGGCGAUCACUUGUGGCUGA
This 435-nucleotide ribosomal RNA is filed under the name Triticum aestivum (bread wheat). Its description in RNAcentral is "partial small subunit ribosomal RNA". The record is from RNAcentral. Lineage: Eukaryota; Viridiplantae; Streptophyta; Magnoliopsida; Poales; Poaceae.